UACGGAGGGGGCUAGCGUUGUUCGGAAUUACUGGGCGUAAAGCGCGCGUAGGCGGACCUGCAAGUCGGGGGUGAAAGCCCGAGGCUUAACCUCGGAACUGCCUUCGAUACUGCGGGUCUCGAGUCCGGGAGAGGUGAGUGGAAUUCCUAGUGUAGAGGUGAAAUUCGUAGAUAUUAGGAAGAACACCAGUGGCGAAGGCGGCUCACUGGUCCGGUACUGACGCUGAGGUGCGAAAGCGUGGGGAGCAAACAGG
Molecule: ribosomal RNA, 253 nt
Filed under: uncultured bacterium
Lineage: Bacteria
Description: partial 16S ribosomal RNA
Rfam family: Bacterial small subunit ribosomal RNA
Source: RNAcentral